This 552-nucleotide long non-coding RNA is filed under the name Ananas comosus (pineapple). RNAcentral describes it as "long non-coding RNA (ACOM_LNC009573)". The record is from RNAcentral. Lineage: Eukaryota; Viridiplantae; Streptophyta; Magnoliopsida; Poales; Bromeliaceae.
AAAAAAAAUUUCCGUUGAUACUUUUUUUUUUUUUUUUCUGUCAUUCAAAAACAUACAUUUUGUUCCUUUAAAAAAUAAAAAAUACUCACUUUAUAUAACUCUCGUCGUCAGUAUUCUGUUACAGUUCUGCUUAUAUCCUAUUUUUUAUACCCAAAAUAUUUCUAAAAUCUUUCUCAUUCCUCAUCCUCGGUCACGCCGCCUUGCCCUCCUCCGCCUCACCCUCGCCCACCUCUCGGUUCAUGCCCACACACAUGCUCUCUUCCGCCUCCGCUGCCUCACCCUCGCUCGCCUCUCAGUCCAUACCCAUAAACACGUUCUCGUCCGCCUCCGCUGCCUCACCCUCGCCCACCUUUCCGUCUACGCCCACUCUGAAAAAGACGAAAAGUAAUUUAAUCAUUUUGUCACAGUGUAUUCCUCUGUGAAUAAUUUUUAUUUUUUAAAGGGAUAAAGUAUCGAUUUUUGAAUAACAUGAAAAGAAAGUAAACAAACGGGUAUUGACGGGAGAUCUAGUUUUCUAUAAUUAGUCUAAAAUUUAUAUUCUAUUUGUGAUUU